RNAcentral lists this ribosomal RNA (324 nucleotides) under uncultured eukaryote. RNAcentral describes it as "partial 18S ribosomal RNA". It matches the Rfam family "Eukaryotic small subunit ribosomal RNA", at positions 1470 to 1796 of the family's 1831-position model. The record is from RNAcentral.
CCCUUAGAUGUCCUGGGCUGCACGCGCGCUACACUGAUGUGUCCAGUAAGCACCUAACCUCUUCCGAAAGGAACGGGUAACCUUUGCAAAGCACAUCGUGAUGGGGAUAGAUUAUCGCAAUUAUUAGUCUUGAACGAGGAAUUCCUAGUAAGCACAAGUCAUCAGCUUGUGUUGAUUACGUCCCUGCCCUUUGUACACACCGCCCGUCGCUCCUACCGAUUGAAUGUUCCGGUGAGCUCUUCGGACUGCGCGGUCUGCAGUUUCUGCGUUCCGUGCGGAAAGUUGCGCAAACCUUAACAUUUAGAGGAAGGAGAAGUCGUAACA